UUAACCUCAUCAUGGCUUAUUCUUUUUCUUCUCUCUGCUGUUUCAACCAAGUUCUUUCCUGGCAUAGGAUCAUGUUUCACUACCCCAAAAUGAGGUCCCAAAGCUUUAGAGACAAUGAAAGCAGUGUGGAUGCAAACAUGAGUGUUUUAAGAGAGAGAAUCGGUAGAAUCAGAAAGAGAGAAAGGCUUGUGGAUAGAUGUGGUUGGAACUAUAAGAAUGAAGUCUAUGGGGAAAAGUUUAAGAGAUCAUCAAAUCAUCAUCAAGCUUUCAUAUCAGAGUUUGCGGAAUUAAUGGCCAUAACCUGUGGUUCUAUA
Molecule: long non-coding RNA, 314 nt
Organism: Neltuma alba
Lineage: Eukaryota; Viridiplantae; Streptophyta; Magnoliopsida; Fabales; Fabaceae
Exons: 2
Source: RefSeq, a predicted model, not a curated record